GAUGAACGCUGGCGGCGUGCCUAAUACAUGCAAGUCGAGCGAACGGACGAGAAGCUUGCUUCUCUGAUGUUAGCGGCGGACGGGUGAGUAACACGUGGAUAACCUACCUAUAAGACUGGGAUAACUUCGGGAAACCGGAGCUAAUACCGGAUAAUAUUUUGAACCGCAUGGUUCAAAAGUGAAAGACGGUCUUGCUGUCACUUAUAGAUGGAUCCGCGCUGCAUUAGCUAGUUGGUAAGGUAACGGCUUACCAAGGCAACGAUGCAUAGCCGACCUGAGAGGGUGAUCGGCCACACUGGAACUGAGACACGGUCCAGACUCCUACGGGAGGCAGCAGUAGGGAAUCUUCCGCAAUGGGCGAAAGCCUGACGGAGCAACGCCGCGUGAGUGAUGAAGGUCUUCGGAUCGUAAAACUCUGUUAUUAGGGAAGAACAUAUGUGUAAGUAACUGUGCACAUCUUGACGGUACCUAAUCAGAAAGCCACGGCUAACUACGUGCCAGCAGCCGCGGUAAUACGUANGUGGCAAGCGUUAUCCGGAAUUAUUGGGCGUAAAGCGCGCGUAGCGGUUUUUUAAGUCUGAUGUGAAAGCCCACGGCUCAACCGUGGAGGGUCAUUGGAAACUGGAAAACUUGAGUGCAGAAGAGGAAAGUGGAAUUCCAUGUGUAGCGGUGAAAUGCGCAGAGAUAUGGAGGAACACCAGUGGCGAAGGCGACUUUCUGGUCUGUAACUGACGCUGAUGUGCGAAAGCGUGGGGAUCAAACAGGAUUAGAUACCCUGGUAGUCCACGCCGUAAACGAUGAGUGCUAAGUGUUAGGGGGUUUCCGCCCCUUAGUGCUGCAGCUAACGCAUUAAGCACUCCGCCUGGGGAGUACGACCGCAAGGUUGAAACUCAAAGGAAUUGACGGGGACCCGCACAAGCGGUGGAGCAUGUGGUUUAAUUCGAAGCAACGCGAAGAACCUUACCAAAUCUUGACAUCCUUUGACAACUCUAGAGAUAGAGCCUUCCCCUUCGGGGGACAAAGUGACAGGUGGUGCAUGGUUGUCGUCAGCUCGUGUCGUGAGAUGUUGGGUUAAGUCCCGCAACGAGCGCAACCCUUAAGCUUAGUUGCCAUCAUUAAGUUGGGCACUCUAAGUUGACUGCCGGUGACAAACCGGAGGAAGGUGGGGAUGACGUCAAAUCAUCAUGCCCCUUAUGAUUUGGGCUACACACGUGCUACAAUGGACAAUACAAAGGGCAGCGAAACCGCGAGGUCAAGCAAAUCCCAUAAAGUUGUUCUCAGUUCGGAUUGUAGUCUGCAACUCGACUACAUGAAGCUGGAAUCGCUAGUAAUCGUAGAUCAGCAUGCUACGGUGAAUACGUUCCCGGGUCU
RNAcentral lists this ribosomal RNA (1371 nucleotides) under uncultured bacterium. RNAcentral's name for it is "bacterial SSU rRNA". It matches the Rfam family "Bacterial small subunit ribosomal RNA", at positions 28 to 1381 of the family's 1533-position model. The record is from RNAcentral.